Molecule: long non-coding RNA, 2635 nt
Filed under: Homo sapiens (human)
Lineage: Eukaryota; Metazoa; Chordata; Mammalia; Primates; Hominidae
Description: HSALNT0046749
Source: RNAcentral
CCUGGGUCUACAGAGUUAGAAUAUCCAAGCAUGGAUGAGAAUUUGCAUUAACAAACUAACCAAGUCAUUCUGUUCUUAUCUUUCACAGAGGUCACUGUAGAACAACUGUUGUUUUCAUUUAGCCCCUCUGCCUAAAAUGUUAGGAAAGCAAAACACUGGUGAACAGUGUUUGAGAAAAAUGUAGACUAAAUUUAAAUACCUGUAAGCAGAGUAUACCAACCUCUCAUCUCAAUUCCCACACCAACUUAGCAACUGCAGAGGUUACUUACAUGCCUGGCUGCAGAGGCACUGGAAUUUGCUACUGUUGACCUCAGUUAUUAGGGGAAAAUUAUCAUUACCUGUUGUAGAAAGAUGCUAAGCAUAUAAGGCAGACAAGUCCCUUUUUGUUAUCAGUAGAGGACUUUCAUUGUUGCUUUUUUUCUUCAGUAGAGUUUUUGAAAUCUGCAGGGGCUUUUCUGUUUUUCUUUUGUUUUGCUCUUUUUUGCUUUUUUUUAAAGAAAGUUUUUAAAUGUUCAUUUAGUAAUGGAGUCAAAGUGGAACCAGGAAGGCAAUUCUUAAAAAAAAAAAAAUUGUCCAAAACUAAAAUUCCUGACCUUAAUGGAAAAUAAAAAAUUUUACCAUUAAAUCAUGAGACAAAUGCAGUUAGGAUAUAUCAGCUAUCAAAGUGCAGAAAUCAAGUCUCCAUGAGAAAUAAACCUUUGCUGCUGGGAGGGUCAGAAAUGGUAGAUCAAUGUAUGAGUAAGAACAUAUGCCUUUCCUUUUUUCCUAUAACCACGGCACAGUUAAUCUAAUAGUUUUUCAGUAUUCUUUGAACCCUCAGUUAAUGACUAUAGCUAAAGACAGCACAUUAGGUCAUCCAAUUAUCUGAUUUAUUUUUAUAUGUUCAUGUUUAUAUUUUCAGAUUCUUUCACUAUGAUGGCAGAAAAUCAAGACUUGGAGGAGACUGUUAUAUAAAGUUUCUCUAACAUUCAUUACAUUUAUCUAAGGACUCUAUCAGAUACUUUCAGUGUGGUCUCUCCUAAGUUCAUUGAAAUUCAAAAUAAUUAAUUGAAGUAAAGCCCUGCAUUUGUGCAUGCGUUCUGAGCAAUUAAGUGGAGUGAAACACAUGUAUUGCUAAUCUUGCAUGCUGUGAUUAAGAUAGAAAUGAAGACGUCCAUCAAACGAGAUUACUUCUUCAUCAACAAGGCUCAGAAAUGUUUCUACAGCUGUUUAGAUCGUUUUAAUUGUAUCAGAGCCUCUCACAUCAUGGUUUAAGUGAGGCACUAUUUCCCCCCAUUAAAAAAGAGAAUAUGAAGAUAUGAGAGUAUACUAAUCCGCAUGUGAAAGAAAUCACAAUGCAUUUAAAGGUUUCUUUACCAAUAAAAUUAGAUUAGCUAAAGAAACAAAAGGCAUUUGUGUGUUUAUGAUCUAUUUUCAUACUUAACUGCACAAACACGGAGCUGAGAGGACCAGCUGGGUCCCACUUUUCAUUAUCAAAUAUUCCUGGAUUAUUCCCUCUGGCCACUCUAACUCCUUUAUUUGAAAAAAGAACAGGGAAUGGUACUACCUUCCCUAUGUAAAAGUAAAUCUAAUUGAUGACUCACACACAAAAAAACCAUGAUACUUGUUACCAUUUCCUCAAUUUCCAUUCCUCCUUCCAAUAGAAACAUAGUUUUUUUAAAGCAACUAAUUAUUCCAAAAAGAAAAGAACUCACUUAUUCUACCAAUUUUUUGGUUAGUUACUCAGAAUUAUUCCUAGUAAUAUAGACUUGGAUUUUGAGUCCCUCAAUGGGACUGAAGAAUAAGACCAAAUGUUGUCUCAGAAUAAUGAAUGAUUUGACUCAAAGUGAUUUCUUAAAAGCCAAAGUUACCAUUUCAGAAAAUUCUUUCUCUUGUGGUUCAGCGAGCUAUGAAGGAGGUGAACUGAACAGAAUGAGAAUAAAUCAAGAUUGGACUUUUCAUAGGUAUAGAGCCCUUUCUUUGGCUAUCUCAAAAUACUACAAGUAGUACCACUGUCAUAUCUCUCAUGUAAUUAAUAUACUGAGUUUCAUCUUAAAAACCAAGUGCAAAACCAUGAACUUGAGUGAUUUGAGACAGAAAUAUAUGUAUUUGUAUUCAUAAAAGCUUGAACCAGCAAAAAUACCUUUCUAUCUAAUUAUAUUACUUUAGCAAUUAGUUGUGAAAAGAAGUAGUUUUAAUUAACAUUUAUUUUUUUCACUGUUGUAUAUUUUAGGAUUUCAAUUCAUUUUGAUAGAUCUUCAAGUUGAACAUAAAAGAAACUCUCAGACUUUAGGAACCUAUAGGUCAGAGUGGUUCAACUGAAAAAGCAAAGAGAAACAUGCAGACCCGUGGUGACAAAUGGCUGAACCCUACACUUUACUGAAAUUGGACAAGCAAAUGUUUAUAUCACUAAAAAAAAAAAAAAGAAAAGGAAAAAUAAAAAAGAAAAAACCUGGACAAAGUAUUAAGUAGUGAUAGUGAAAAUGACAUGCUCUUAUAAACAGAAUUCAAAUAUUAAAAAUAAUAUUUUUAUGCUUUACAACUUCAAUUACAAUCACUAAACCAAAUGGCAGUGUUAAUAACAAAUACACUGAAAAAAUAUAUGUUAAGUUAGGAAAAACAAAACAACAGGAAAUUGGAAUGUCCUAUAAUAACU